AAACAAAUGUCAUGCGAGCACCAAUCAGCUGUUCACAAACCCAAAAGAAAUCAGUUUACGUGGAAGCAAUCAAAUAUUUGCCGAAAAUAGGCGCUGAUGUUUUAACUAAUUACAGUCAUUUUAAUUGUUUCCAGAUUAAAUAUUACACAUUAGAAAUACAGCGCUAUGAUUGAAGUUACAGAUUUACAAAAAAUCGGUAUUGGGCUGGCUGGAUUUGGUGUCUCAUUCCUAUUUUUGGGUGUUCUAUUUCUGUUCGACAAAGGAUUGCUGGCUAUAGGAAACUUGCUCUUCCUAAGUGGUCUGGCAUGUGUAAUUGGAGUUCAACGCACAUUCAGGUUUUUCUUUCAACGGCACAAAGUUAAAGGUACCACAGCAUUUUUUGGCGGAAUUUUUGUGGUUCUGCUGGGAUUUCCAAUGAUCGGAAUGGUUAUUGAGUUAUAUGGAUUCUUUGUGUUAUUCAGCGGAUUUUUCCCCGUGGCGGUAAAUUUCUUGGGGCGAGUACCGGUACUAGGAUCAAUUUUGAAUACUCCAUUGAUCCAAAAGCUGGUACAAAAACUUGGUGGGGACGCGAAUCGAACGACGGUAUAGUAGAACUCCAAACAAACUUUCAACUAAGGAUAAUUUUAAUUUAGUUUAUUCCUCCGUGAAAUUAAACUUAGACCGCGUUUUUGUACAAAAAUACAUAGAUUCCACUUUCACAUGAAAACACCCUGCUCAACGGCGAUUUUUGUAUAUUUAAUUUAAAAACGGACAUAUGUAUUUUUGUAGCUUCUGGCUGCAGCAAAGGCGAAGGCGAAUGUGGUAUAUGAGCGAGAUAUAUACUCUCUGUCAAGUAAGAUGAUUAAUAAAACCGAUGUAAAUAAAAUAUUUAA
This 872-nucleotide unclassified non-coding RNA is filed under the name Rhagoletis pomonella (apple maggot). RNAcentral's name for it is "vesicle transport protein GOT1B, transcript variant X6". The record is from RNAcentral. Lineage: Eukaryota; Metazoa; Arthropoda; Insecta; Diptera; Tephritidae.